CCUACGGGAGGCAGCAGUGGGGAAUAUUGGACAAUGGGCGAAAGCCUGAUCCAGCCAUGCCGCGUGUGUGAAGAAGGCCUUCGGGUUGUAAAGCACUUUCAGUGGGGAAGAAAGCCUUGGGGCUAAUACCCUCGAGGAAGGACAUCACCCACAGAAGAAGCACCGGCUAACUCCGUGCCAGCAGCCGCGGUAAUACGGAGGGUGCGAGCGGUAAUCGGAAUUACUGGGCGUAAAGCGCGCGUAGGCGGUCUGAUAAGCCGGUUGUGAAAGCCCCGGGCUCAACCUGGGAACGGCAUCCGGAACUGUCAGGCUAGAGUGCAGGAGAGGAAGGUAGAAUUCCCGGUGUAGCGGUGAAAUGCGUAGAGAUCGGGAGGAAUACCAGUGGCGAAGGCGGCCUUCUGGACUGACACUGACGCUGAGGUGCGAAAGCGUGGGUAGCAAACAGGAUUAGAUACCCCUGUAGUC
RNAcentral lists this ribosomal RNA (465 nucleotides) under Vreelandella stevensii. RNAcentral's name for it is "partial 16S ribosomal RNA". It matches the Rfam family "Bacterial small subunit ribosomal RNA", at positions 338 to 795 of the family's 1533-position model. Lineage: Bacteria; Pseudomonadati; Pseudomonadota; Gammaproteobacteria; Oceanospirillales; Halomonadaceae. The record is from RNAcentral.